CCAUGAGCGAGAGUAAGAGGCAGCAGGAAAGCAUCAUGACAUGCGUUGGAGCACACAUUGAGGAUACAAGAUGUCCUUAAUGAGGCUUUUAAAAGCUUCUGUGAUGCCACUUGCAACAAGGGAGGAGCUGGUGAAGCCAAGAAGCCAGGGCGAGGAUGAGGGUUGAAUGGGACAGGGCGCUCAGACACGCCCCUGCUCGCGCUGAGCGCAGCACACCCACGCAGCAACAAGCCUGCAGACAAUCACCUAUCAGCGCACCUGGACUUGAUGAGAGGGAGUGGCAUAAAGACCAGUAGACCCGAGGAACCUUUGCCAGAACGUCGCUCAUCUUCCCAUGACUUCCCUGUCAUCCGUGAUCGUGUUUUGCCUCUCGACAUCCAUCCGGAUUCCUGACUGCCUCCCUCGAUCCUCGACCCCCUGCUCGGACACGGACUACGCUGCCUUGCACCUACCCUCGACCCCUUGCCUGUUUACGGACUGCCUCUUCGCCUUGCCCCCACCCUUGAUUCGACGAAGGAUACAUCCAACACUCACAGACAACAAACCCUGGUAACAUUUACACUAUUAAUUAUACACAUAGCCUACUCCCAUUCACUUAGGGUAGCAUACACACGCCACGUAAUCAUCAAAGAUUUAAAUAAACCGUGUGA
This is a non-coding RNA of Nerophis lumbriciformis (worm pipefish), 650 nucleotides long. The record is from RefSeq and is a predicted model, not a curated record. NCBI's taxonomy places the organism in Eukaryota, Metazoa, Chordata, Actinopteri, Syngnathiformes, Syngnathidae.